This is an RNA transcript of Solanum tuberosum (potato), 577 nucleotides long. RefSeq lists it as uncharacterized. The record is from RefSeq and is a predicted model, not a curated record. The transcript is spliced from 4 exons. Lineage: Eukaryota; Viridiplantae; Streptophyta; Magnoliopsida; Solanales; Solanaceae.
GAAGGUUACACAUACAAGUCUGUUAUCUCUUCUCUUCCACAGUAGCACUGAAAUUAGGCGAUGAAGAUGAUGGCGGCGAGAAUAAAAUUGGCAAAUGAGUAGAGACAUUGUUUUGCUUCUUGAAUCCAUUUUCGUCUAGUAUUCAGAAAUAUACACGAAGACAUCUUGAGCAAAGCAUUACAAAAUGCCCCAUCUUCUAGGACAAAGGGUUGAGGCAGGAAUCUUAUGUCUGGGUGGCUGCUCUGUGAUUUUUGUAAAGGUCAGAAGACCAAUGUGAAAUCUGAGACUAACAAAAUUUAUCGUCGGUGUCCAUCAUGUAGAGCUGUGGAUACUUAUUAUGCUCAAAAUGCAAAGUUUUCAAAUGUGUUACCUUCCCAAAUGAUGAAGAUGGUGAGGUUCUCAGUUUUUGAACUUGUUACUUCAUCUCAUUUGUUGUUUAGAAUAUUCAUCUUGACUAAUUAUCAUACAUUUAAUUUUUACUGACUUGUAAGUUUCAUCACCACGCAUGAAUAUGUAAUGUUUUCUCUAAUUGUUGUAAUCAAUGACCAGAAAAGAAGAGAAAUAAAACAGUUCAGAA